GGCGGACGGGUGAGUAACGCGUGGGCAACCCGUCUCAUACAGGGGGAUAACAGUUAGAAAUGACUGCUAAUACCGCAUAAGACCACAGUACUGCAUGGUACAGUGGUAAAAACUCCGGUGGUAUGAGAUGGGCCCGCGUCUGAUUAGCUAGUUGGUGAGGUAACGGCUCACCAAGGCAACGAUCAGUAGCCGACCUGAGAGGGUGACCGGCCACAUUGGGACUGAGACACGGCCCAAACUCCUACGGGAGGCAGCAGUGGGGAAUAUUGCACAAUGGGGGAAACCCUGAUGCAGCGACGCCGCGUGAGCGAUGAAGUAUUUCGGUAUUUUUUUCUCUAUCAGCAGAGAAGAAAAUGACGGUACCUGACUAAGAAGCCCCGGCUAACUACGUGCCAGCAGCCGCGGUAAUACGUAGGGGGCAAGCGUUAUCCGGAUUUACUGGGUGUAAAGGGAGCGUAGACGGCGAUGCAAGCCAGAUGUGAAAGCCCGGGGCUCAACCCCGGGACUGCAUUUGGAACUGUAUAGCUAGAGUGUCGGAGAGGCAGGCGGAAUUCCUAGUGUAGCGGUGAAAUGCGUAGAGAUAUGGAGGAACACCAGUGGCGAAGGCGGCUUCCUGGUCUGCAACUGACACUGAGGCGCGAAAGCGUGGGGAGCAAACAGGAUUAGAUACCCUGGUAGUCCACGCCGUA
This 689-nucleotide ribosomal RNA is filed under the name uncultured bacterium. Its description in RNAcentral is "bacterial SSU rRNA". It matches the Rfam family "Bacterial small subunit ribosomal RNA", at positions 97 to 804 of the family's 1533-position model. The record is from RNAcentral.